This 1486-nucleotide ribosomal RNA is filed under the name uncultured Bordetella sp. RNAcentral describes it as "partial 16S-23S ribosomal RNA intergenic spacer". It matches the Rfam family "Bacterial small subunit ribosomal RNA". The record is from RNAcentral. Lineage: Bacteria; Pseudomonadati; Pseudomonadota; Betaproteobacteria; Burkholderiales; Alcaligenaceae.
GGUUCGAUCAUGGCUCAGAUUGAACGCUGGCGGGAUGCUUUACACAUGCAAGUCGAACGGCAGCACGGACUUCGGUCUGGUGGCGAGUGGCGAACGGGUGAGUAAUGUAUCGGAACGUGCCUAGUAGCGGGGGAUAACUACAGCGAAAGCGUAGCUAAUACCGCAUACGCCCUUCGGGGAAAGCGGGGACCUUCGGGCCUCGCACUAUUAGAGCGGCCGAUAUCGGAUUAGCUAGUUAUGGGGUAACGGCUCACUACAUGACGAUCCGUAGCUGGUUUGAGAGGACGACCAGCCACACUGGGACUGAGAUACUUGGCCCAGACUCCUACGGAGGCAGCAGUGGGGAAUUUUGGACAAUGGGGAAACCCUGAUCCAGCCAUCCCGCGCGUGCGAUGAAGGCCUUCGGGUUAGAAGCACCUUUGGCAGGAAAGAAACGGCACGGGAUAUCACCUCGUGCAACUGACGGUACCUGCAGAAUAAGCACUGGCUAACUACGCGCCAGCAGCCGCGGUAAUAAUGUGGUAAGUAAGCGUUAAUCGGAAUUACUGGGCGCAAGCGCAGGCGGUUCGGAAAGAAAGAUGUGGAAAUCCCAGAGAGCUUAACUUUGGAACUGCAUUUUUAACUACCGAGCUAGAGUGUGUCAGAGGGAGGUGGAAUUCCGCGUGUAGCAGUGAAAUGCGUAGAUAUGCGGAGGAACACCGAUGGCGAAGGCAGCCUCCCGGGAUAACACUGACGCUCAUGCACGAAAGCGUGGGGAGCAAAUGAGAUUAGAUAAUUUGCAGUAGUCCACGCCCUAAACGAUGUCAACUAGCUGUUGGGGCCUUCGGGCCUUGGCAGCGCAGCUAACACGUGAAGUUGACCGCCUGGGGAGUACGGUCGCAAGAUUAAAACCUGUUAGAAUUGACGGGGACUCCGCACAAGCGGUGGAUGAUGUGGAUUAAUUUGAUGCAACGGCGAAAAACCUUACUCAUCUUUGACAUGUCUGGAAUCCCGAAGAGAUUUGGGGAGUGCUCGCAAGAGAACCGGAACACAGGUGCUGCAUGGCUGUCGUCAGCUCGUGUCGAGAUGUUGGGUUAAGUCCCGCAACGAGCGCAACCCUUGUCAUUAGUUGCUACGAAAGGGCACUCUAUCGAGACUGCCGGUGACAAACCGGAGGAAGGUGGGGAUGACGCCGCGUCCUCAUGGCCCUUAUGGGUAGGGCUUCACACGUCAUACAAUGGUCGGGACAGGAGGGUCGCCAACCCGCGAGGGGGAGCCAAUCCCAGAAACCCGAUCAGUCCGGAUCGUGUCUGCAACUCGACUGCGUGAAGUCGGAAUCGCUAGUAAUCGCGGAUCAGCAUGUCGCGGUGAAUACGUUCCUGGCCUUGUACACACCGCCCGUCACACCAUGGGAGUGGGUUUUACCACAGGAAGUAGUUAGCCUAACCGUAAGGAGGGCGAUUACCACGGUAGGAUUCAUGACUGGGGUGAAGUCGUAACAAGGUAG